UAAAAAAAAAAACAAAGCUGUUAAACUGAUUAGGCUAUUUGAUAUUAAAUUAUGUGAGAAGCAUUCUCAAAAGGAAAUAAUACUAAGUCUUCUUUAUGUUGUAUUUAUGUAGGUAUAGGUUAUAAAUGUUACAGAAAAAAUGAAACUCCUGGAAAUCUGACAUGUCCUAAUAUUAUGUUAUUAGUCAUAAUUCCCAUUAUUACCUUAAAAUAUUGUGUGUCAUAACCAAUUUUCAUGUCAGCUGCAUUAUAAUGUACUGUCAUCAGAGCUUUAACCAUGGACAUUUUUAAGUUUCUAUCAUGUACAAUUACUGUUUUACUCUGAUGCUUUUGCAAAUGUGGGACUCAUGGAAAAGACCCUACCAACAACUGAUGCCAAUGCAGAUUACAAGAUGUUGAACUUUGGGUGUGUAUUUCACAACUUAAGACGGUUCCCAUGGACAUCUGGUCCUGUGCAAAUACUGGAGACCUUGAAAUCAAAUUGACUAGGAAGAGAAGUAGCAGACAUCAAGGUAGAUUGCUUCUAUUCAAGAUGUCAGAUCAAGACUUCUCACUAUAACUAAACAUGAAAUUCUCUCUUCUCUUUCUUCCUUUACUUUGGUACUAGUCUGGGGAAAGAUAAUGCCAUCAUCUGUACCUCCCAGGCCAUUCUUAAUAAACUACAAUAGAUCUCCUUAGAAGUUACUUACUGAGUCUGACUUUUAUGGCCAGAACAUCCACUGCCUUGUUUUUACUCUUCUCUGAUUAUCACUAUACUUGCCCAAUUAGACACAAAUGCCUAUGCAAACUGUAGUAUAUUUAUACCCAUGUUCUUAUGAUUACCUAAAUCACAUCUGCCCCCAAUUAUGAAAAAGAUCUCACCAACAGUACUCACCUGUGCAAGGCAUUUAGAACAACUCUUUACUUCAAACUAGAUUUAUGGAAAACCUAAGUCUGUCUCUUAUACCCAU
Molecule: long non-coding RNA, 949 nt
Organism: Prionailurus viverrinus (fishing cat)
Lineage: Eukaryota; Metazoa; Chordata; Mammalia; Carnivora; Felidae
Exons: 3
Source: RefSeq, a predicted model, not a curated record